UUCAUUGUUGAAUAUUUAUUGGUGGUCACAGGCAGGGGAUAGCAAAAAGAGGAACUUGUGACAGGGAGCAAACUUAUCACACUGGGGCACCUGGUCACCCAAGCAGGGUGAUCACAGCCUGUUUUGGGGGAUGUUGAAGGAGCAGGAAAAUAUAAAGUUCUAAAAUUUACAAUACAGUAUCAUGCUAUUAUUUUUUGUAAUUCCAUAGCCAAAUAAUAAAUAGCUUUCAUAAACUUGGUGCUAUGAAUGCUGUUGCUCAAUAAAUAUUUCUUGAGUGAAUGAAUGAAUGGUUAAUGAAAGAAACACUCUUUAUUUACAACACUGAUUCCCUAAUCAAGGCCUUCAUCUCCUCUACACCUGGAAUCCUGUCCUUCAUAUGUAACACUCACAACAAAUACUUCUUAAUAUCCCCCUUAAUAUUAUCAUGGUUUAAAAAAAGAAAAUCCAUGUUCCAGUUCUCAAUUGCUGUAUAACAAACCAUCUCAAAGUUUGUUUAAACAUUGACCUUCAAAGGAAAUGUAUUAUUUUUCACCAAGGGUCUGUGAGCUAAUCAGUCUCAGCUGGGCGGUCUUUGCUUGGGCCCCUACGUGCUUUUGCUGGACAGGAGCUAAGACCGAAAUAAUGUGAAGGCUCAAGAAGGUGAAGCGCUGGUGAAGAUGACUCACUCAACAUGACUGGCAGUUAUUGGUAUCUGUCAGUUGGGAGUACAGUUGAUACUAUGAACUGCAGUAUCUACAUGUGGCCUUUUCAUGUGGCUCAGGAUUUUCAAAUCAUGGUGACUGGGUUCUUAGAAGGAGUAUACCAAGAGCAAGCAUUCCAAGAGACAAGAGUGGAAGAAGGUCUGGAUCUGUAAUUUGGCACAUCAUAAUUUCUGCAAUAUUCCAUAAGGCAAAGCAGCCACAGGAUCUGCCUAGAUUCAAGGGAAGAAGGAAGUUCCACCUUUUGAAGGGGGUCAUAAAAACUAUAGUCAUCUCCAUUUCCUUAAACCAAUAAGCAUUAAAUACUAAUAAUAGACAUCUUUUAUUAUUAUUGUUUAUUAUUUCCCUUAUUUCUCACUCAUCCUAAAAUCUUCACAUAACCCUAGGUCUUGAUUUUGUGCAUGAGGAAACUGAGGAUGAAAAUAGUUAUGUAAUUUGGUAAAAGUCACACAAUAAGAGUUCAAAGACAGAUAUGCCUUUGCCGUUUUAUUUCAUUAUCCUUUCACUCUUCCAUAAAAUUUACUAUGAUUCCCUUUACCUUCUCACAUCAAAGCUAAAUUCCUGUGUUUCUAACCCAUCCAUAAUCUGCCCUAUUCCUGCCUAUGCCAUCUUACACCUCUCAGCCUCCUCUGUACUCUCUUUUCCAUAAUGCCAUUGUUCCUCUUACCUGGGAUGCCUCCACCCUACCCCUCCAAUUUAAAUCCUACCAAUCAUUCUUGCUGUCCUUUUCUCUGAAUAUGUCCCUAACUAGAGCAAGGCAGAAUGACUUCCCCUCCUGUGGAGUUAAAGCAUAUUUCUUAUGUAGUGGCUCAUGGACUUCUUGUUUUCAUGCAUGUUAGUUUUAUCUUUCCAAGUGUAUUAUAAAUUUUUGUGGCUAUAAUCUAUGUCACCAAGUCUGAUAUUCCUUCUAAAUUCCUUAUACGUCCCACCCUCUAAGACUGGUUCACCAGAGAAUUGGCAAUAAACUACAUUAUGCUGCUGUAGUCAUGGUAGAGUCCACUGGAGGCCUCCAUACAAAAAUUAUCAGUGGAAAUAUUAGUCUGAAGUAACUAGUUUGACUGUAGAGAAGUCAAGCACAGUAUGCAGACCAUACACUCAUGCAAAUUUUGUGUUGUGUUCACCCCUGAGCCUUCUCAGCAAAUUAGAGGGAAAAUCCUACAGAGCAAAGUGGCCCAGCAAAGCUGGCAGAGUUAGCGGCUACAUGCUGUGAUUUCUAAAUUUCCAUUAGAGAGCAUUUUCCUUUCUGCUAGGUGGAGAUUGAAAUGCCUUUGAUAGGAUAAUUUAUCCUACAAUUAAGAAUGAAGCUUAAGGCACAAGUUCACUAAAAUUAUAAGAUCUUUUCCAUAGCAGGUUCUGAUCUGUGUUAUAAAAGGUACAGGGAAAAGAAGUUACUGAGCAUAUUGUAGGGAAGCAAGUUUCUCGAGAAAGGAAAAAAGAUAAAAUGAGGAGGUUGGUAAAAUGCUGGCUUGAAAUGGUGAGCCCUGGGCGGAAGA
Equus caballus (horse) is the source of this 2191-nucleotide long non-coding RNA. The record is from Ensembl. Lineage: Eukaryota; Metazoa; Chordata; Mammalia; Perissodactyla; Equidae.